This 830-nucleotide ribosomal RNA is filed under the name Calathus rotundatus. RNAcentral describes it as "eukaryotic LSU rRNA". It matches the Rfam family "Eukaryotic large subunit ribosomal RNA", at positions 416 to 929 of the family's 3401-position model. Lineage: Eukaryota; Metazoa; Arthropoda; Insecta; Coleoptera; Carabidae. The record is from RNAcentral.
UAAACCUGUGGUUCCCGAAAGUUCGAACGGGGAGAUUCAAUUGCCUCGCCGGUUAUGACCAUUUAACAGUGAUGUGUUUAUAUAUAUAUUAGAGACAUUAUAUGGCGGUUGCGGGUUUAUUCUCGUAUCUGUUCCUGUAUAGUGCUCCACUGUUUUAUGAUAUAUUGUUUAUAGCCGGAGGCGUGCACUUCUCCCCUUGUAGGACGUCGUGACCCAUUGGAUUAUGUUGUCUAAGGCUUAUAAUGGAGACCGUGGCAUUAAGUUUCGGCUUUAAUGACCCGGACUUAUAGUGUCCCGACAUCUAUCCGAUGGUAUAAUUAUGAUGAUAGAUCGCUAUAAAUGCGUACGAGCGUUCAGAUCCAUAACAAAUUCUUUAUAUGGUUAUAUUAGUGGAAAUCGGAUAUAAUGCCGAUUCUACACAUAUGGGAUUGUUAGUUAUGGUAUUCUCGAACAGUUCUUUAUCAUCAGUCAACGGCGUUUAUGUUUUGGGUAAUUACAGGACCCGUCUUGAAACACGGACCAAGGAGUCUAGCAUGUGCGCAAGUCAUUGGGACUUUGUGAAACCUAAAGGCGUAAUGAAAGUGAAAUAUUUGUGAAUUUUCGUAAUUCACUGAAUUUAAGGGAAGAUGGGUAACGUUUUUUAUGUUACCUCGCAUUCCCGGGGCGUCGCGUACUUAUUGCAAGUUGCGGCGCACCAAGAGCGUACACGCUGGGACCCGAAAGAUGGUGAACUAUGCCUGGUCAGGAUGAAGUCAGGGGAAACCCUGAUGGAGGUCCGUAGCGAUUCUGACGUGCAAAUCGAUCGUAUGAACUGGGUAUAGGGGCGAAAG